This 450-nucleotide long non-coding RNA is filed under the name Equus caballus (horse). RNAcentral describes it as "lncRNA (ENSECAG00000056906.1)". Lineage: Eukaryota; Metazoa; Chordata; Mammalia; Perissodactyla; Equidae. The record is from RNAcentral.
CGAAUGACUACCCUCAUUUCCUGUGUUGGGGUCACUUCAUUUUUCCUGUCUUGGUUUCCAUAAGAGGCAGUGGACCAGAUGGAGGAGAACUGAAGGAUGAUCUAUCAACUCUCCCUGCAACAUUUGGAGGAUUUUCACUUCCUUUUAAUCAGGAGCAGGCUGUUCUCAGAGGAUCACCUUGCCUCCCACUGCCCUACUUGCUCCCAAAGCAGACAGCGAGAAUUUGAUUUUACUAUCAGAGCUAGGACUGCGGGAAAAGGGCAGCAGGUCGGAAAAAGGAUGUACCCCACAACUUUGCCUUGAUGCUUUGGGUGUCUGGAAAACAACUUGCAUGUCUUUACCCAGAAGUGAAAGAAGAUAUAAUUGGGUAUUAAAUGAUGAAGACUUUUCUCCCAAUAAUCAAGCACCGAGUCAAGAGAAUCACAGUUAUCAGUAACUUCCGAAGUGCAG